Molecule: microRNA precursor, 89 nt
Filed under: Python bivittatus (Burmese python)
Lineage: Eukaryota; Metazoa; Chordata; Lepidosauria; Squamata; Pythonidae
Description: microRNA pbv-mir-181a precursor (pbv-mir-181a-2)
Gene: pbv-mir-181a-2
Rfam family: mir-181 microRNA precursor family
About the family: In this case the mature sequence comes from the 5' arm of the precursor. The extents of the hairpin precursors are not generally known and are estimated based on hairpin prediction.
Source: miRBase by way of RNAcentral
GAUAGCUUCAGCGAACAUUCAACGCUGUCGGUGAGUUUGACAUGUCAGGAUAAACCAUCGACCGUUGACUGUACCUUGAGGUUUAUCAC